RNAcentral lists this long non-coding RNA (1475 nucleotides) under Daucus carota (carrot). RNAcentral's name for it is "long non-coding RNA (DCAR_LNC003599)". The record is from RNAcentral. Lineage: Eukaryota; Viridiplantae; Streptophyta; Magnoliopsida; Apiales; Apiaceae.
UGGACCAACAACGCCCAGGAAGCACACCUUCCUUGGCGUGCUUACGUGAAUGCCUCCUUGGCGUGGUUGACCAACGCCAAGGAAGCAUAUCAUUGUUGAAUCCUGGUGGACCAACAACGCCCAGGAAGCACACCUUCCUUGGCGUGCUUACGUGAAUGCCUCCUUGGCGUGGUUGACCAACGCCAAGGAAGCAUAUCAUUGUUGAAUCCUGGUGGACCAACAACGCCCAGGAAGCACACCUUCCCUGGCGUGCUUAUAUGAAUGCCUCCUUGGCGUGGUUGACCAACGCCAAGGAAGCAUUUUGCUGUUGAACCUUUAGGCACCAACGACGCCCAGGAAGCAUGUCUUCCUUGGCGUGCCUAGACAAACGUCUCCUUGGCGUGGGACACCCACGCCAAGGAAGCAUACACAUAAAGAAGGGAUAUUUAUGGAAAGUAAAUUAUGAUUUAUUCAUAAAGUGCUGAAUAUUCCUCAAAAAAUAUGGGAAAAAUCCUGAAAAUUCAGGGAAAAUCAUUAAAUUGAAAUCCUAAUUUCAAAUAUAUUUUGAAAAUUAUUUAAAGGCUCGAAAAAUUCUAGAAAAUUGGAAUUUAAUUAUAAAAAUUCCAAUUAAUUUGAAUUUAGCCCUGAAAAAAUACGAAAGUACUCGAAAGUACCAUUACGAACGUAAUUUUGAAGGAUACUUAUUGUACCAAUAAAAAAGACUCGUAGUGUCAUGAAAACGACUCGAAAAAUCAAAAGAAAGACUCAUGUCUUCCGAUACUCCAAUCAAAAAUGAAGUACGAUCCCGAAGGAUACGAAACAGAGCUAUCUUUACUAUACAGUCAAUUCGAAUCAUCUCUCGAAUUGUUUCAAAGUAGUCAAGAUCGGUGAGAUCCUUGCGCUAUUUAUGGAACUUCAGACCUUGGACGAUGGGAAUUUGCAGAAGUUAGCUUUCUCGCAUGAUAUAUGAAUCAGGAGCUCAGAAAGCCGAUGAGGACUCAGCAACUUUUGAAAAGUUUUUACAAAACUUGUCGAAAGUUGGGGGGCAAAUGAUAUGAGUCAGAAGUAAUAUUUAAUAUUAAAAGCCCAAGAACACUAAAGCCCAGUUAAAUAGGGCCUGAGGCUCUUAAAUGUUAAUUAAUUUCGUAAUUAAUUAAUAGAGGUCCAGUUAGAGGUCCAGUUACGAGUCUAAAUUCUAUAAUACAUCUGAUUCUAGCAGAUAAAUAUUCAGAAGUUCGGAUAAACGUCAACAACAAGAGGAUAAGAGUUCUAUCUUAUCUCUUGCUUCGAAACCUACUUCGAUAAGAAGUCUGAUACACGGAAUCAUACUUCCAUCCGACUUCUGACUCCGAAGCGCCUAUAUAAAGGGCUCUACCCCUCAUAACUAGAACUACGUUUUGGACUUGAUUCUUCUCCAAGCAGAAGAUACGUAGGCAUCUCACAUCGAGACCAGUCCGAAGCACGAAUCGCUCACCCCCGUUUUUAGUUCUACAACA